Myripristis murdjan (pinecone soldierfish) is the source of this 582-nucleotide long non-coding RNA. RefSeq lists it as uncharacterized. The record is from RefSeq and is a predicted model, not a curated record. NCBI's taxonomy places the organism in Eukaryota, Metazoa, Chordata, Actinopteri, Holocentriformes, Holocentridae. The transcript has 3 exons.
GGAUAUCACUCAGAUUUUUCGCCCGUGUUUCCAGUCUUGCCAUGACGUCACGCGCUCUAUCCUGAGCGCUCCAUUGAGCGCGUGGUCGCGAGCACAUGGAAGUGAGGUCGAGAUUUGUCUGAAAGACGCGCAACUGAUCACCUGAAAAAAGGAAUAUAAUAAGGCAGCAAAACCAGCCCGACCACACUGGGGUGCAGGGGAUUGCUGCAGACCCCCCAUGCAGUCCUGUGUCUCGGCAUCGCAGCUGCAGCACCUAUACAAGACCGACGACAUGGAGCUGAAUAGGAAGGACAGAGGUGGAAACGGCUGAUCCAUGCACCGCUGAAGGCAGAGGAAGAUCUGGCACAAUUAAUUUCUUUAAAUUACCGUUUUGCACAAAAUGUUGGAGUAUUCCUUUAAAACUACAACCCACUACAACCCACUGGUUUACUCACACAGUUUGUGCGCACAUUUGUGAUCUGUAUAACUUGUGUCAUCGGUGUAAGUUCACCCAGUUUUAUGUUCCUUGUUGCACUUUUCACCGCCUGAGUGUGUACGGAAAGCUGUGCAAUUUUCUGAAUAAAUCGUCAGAUGUUUGUCCGA